AAUGAACGCUAGCGACAGGCUUAACACAUGCAAGUCGCGGGGCAGCAUGGGGGUUGCUUGCAACCCCUGAUGGCGACCGGCGCACGGGUGAGUAACGCGUAUCCAACCUGCCCUUCACCACGGGAUAACCCGGCGAAAGUCGGACUAAUACCGUAUGUUGUCCAUUGACGGCAUCCGAUUUGGACGAGAGGCUGGGGGGUGUAAGGAAGGGGCUGCGUCCGAUUAGCUUGACGGCGGGGGAACGGCCCACCGUGGCUACGUACGGUAGGGGGGCUGGGAGGAAGGUCCCCCACACUGGAGCUGAGACCCGGUCCAGAAUCCUACGGGAGGCAGCAGUGAGGAAUAUUGGUCACUGGGCGUUAGCCUGACCCAGCCAAGUAGCGUGCAGGAUGACGGCCAUAUGGGUUGUAAACUGCUUUUAUGCGGGGAUAAAGUGGCCCACGUGUGGGCUUUUGCAGGUACCGCAUGAAUAAGGACCGGCUAAUUCCGUG
RNAcentral lists this ribosomal RNA (491 nucleotides) under uncultured bacterium. Its description in RNAcentral is "partial 16S ribosomal RNA". It matches the Rfam family "Bacterial small subunit ribosomal RNA", at positions 28 to 507 of the family's 1533-position model. The record is from RNAcentral.